This 253-nucleotide ribosomal RNA is filed under the name uncultured bacterium. RNAcentral describes it as "partial 16S ribosomal RNA". It matches the Rfam family "Bacterial small subunit ribosomal RNA", at positions 524 to 776 of the family's 1533-position model. The record is from RNAcentral.
UACAGAGGUCUCAAGCGUUGUUCGGAUUCAUUGGGCGUAAAGGGUGCGUAGGCGGCGCGGUAAGUCGGGUGUGAAAUCUCGGAGCUUAACUCCGAAACUGCAUUCGAUACUGCCGUGCUUGAGGACUGGAGAGGAGACUGGAAUUUACGGUGUAGCGGUGAAAUGCGUAGAUAUCGUAAGGAAGACCAGUGGCGAAGGCGGGUCUCUGGACAGUUCCUGACGCUGAGGCACGAAGGCCAGGGUAGCAAACGGG